Molecule: long non-coding RNA, 957 nt
Organism: Strigops habroptila (Kakapo)
Lineage: Eukaryota; Metazoa; Chordata; Aves; Psittaciformes; Psittacidae
Exons: 3
Source: RefSeq, a predicted model, not a curated record
UAUUCAAGAAGGGAUAAAGAACUAUUUUGGAAUAGACAAUAAUUGGACUAGAGACAGAGAAGCUGCCAGUGACUGCCCACCAGAAUGAAAACAAGGCUUUGGGACAAAAGGUUUUUGCUUCAAUACUGCCCUAAUGCUGUCUAACAAGUUUCAUAACGAUGUGUGUUGAUUUAAGGAUAAACUACUAUGUACGUGUGGUUUAUGUGGAAACCUUCACCAAGGAAACCUUGACUGGCACAAAGAAAAGCUUUUCAAGACAGCUGCUACGUUGUACUGCAUUUUUGCAUAUGAUUUGAUGCUUCAAAAAUAAACACCAACACCAGUAGUGUGAAUAAAGUAGAGUGAUGCAGUUCCAAUGUUAAAAAUAUUGGAAAAGUUGAACGGGACUAAUAACAUUGGGUUUUGUCUGUGCAGGCAUCAAAAAUGACAGGUUUGAAGGAAAUGGAUGAAAAAUCAAUCACUUCAACUUUAGAGUUUUUACUGCCAAAGUUGGACGUACCAUCAGAGUUUCUGCCUGUGACAGUGGAUGAACAUCUAGGAAACACAGGUGUGCCAGCUGAACUACGGGACUGAUUUCUGGAGUUGCUAGGGGAUGCAGCAAUUGCCUUACCACACAUUAAAGCAUCAAAUUAUCGCGGGGGUGAAGCUACAGAGGAAGAAAAGAACCUUAGCAGACUCUAAUGAAGUACUGGGUUAACUUGUUCAAAACGGGUAAGAAUCGUGAGAUUCAUGACACACAUUACUGGUUUGUGCUGACUCCAUAGUGAGUUAGCUGUUUGGCUGAUUUCAGUCUUAACUUCUAUGAAUUCCCCUGUGACCGAAAAGGGCAUCACUCUUUCUUUCUUGUUGUUUACAGAAAUCCUAAUGGAGGGUUUGUUUGAUUGGCCAUCGUAGAACCUAAAUGAAGAAUACUUACACAUGAAUCUAAACCUAAGGAAAACCGGAAGGUUGAAAGAA